GAUGAACGCUGGCGGCGUGCCUAAUACAUGCAAGUCGAACGAGGUGCUUUUGUAGCAAUACGAGAGUAUCCUAGUGGCGAACGGGUGAGUAACGCGUUGGUGACCUACCCAAAGUGUGGGAUAACAGUCCGAAAGGAUUGCUAAUACCGCAUGUGGUCUUCGGGUUUAGAAACUGAUGACUAAAAGGAGCAAUUCGCUUUGGGAGGGACCUGCGUCCCAUCAGCUAGUUGGUGAGGUAAUGGCUCACCAAGGCUACGACGGGUAGGGGACCUGAGAGGGUGACCCCCCCACAAUGGAACUGAAACACGGUCCAUACACCUACGGGUGGCAGCAGUAGGGAAUAUUGCACAAUGGGCGAAAGCCUGAUGCAGCAACGCCGCGUGUGCGAUGAAGGCCUUCGGGUCGUAAAGCAC
Molecule: ribosomal RNA, 413 nt
Filed under: uncultured bacterium
Lineage: Bacteria
Description: bacterial SSU rRNA
Rfam family: Bacterial small subunit ribosomal RNA
Source: RNAcentral